GAAACGCUCGCAAUGAAGGGUUUAAUCCUAAAUUGUAUGGGAAAACUUCAAGAAGCUCAAGAUUGUGUUCGUCGUGGACUUGUAUCGGAUCUCCGUUCAUAUGUCUGCUGGCACGUAUUUGGACUAAUUCAAAAGACUGAAAAGAAGUACGAUGAGGCAAUUAAGGCCUACAAACGGGCCUUGAUGCUGGAAAAGGACAAUUUGCAGAUUUUGAGAGAUUUGAGUCUUUUGCAGAUUCAUAUUCGUGAUUAUGACGGAUAUUUG
RNAcentral lists this small RNA (264 nucleotides) under Caenorhabditis elegans. Its description in RNAcentral is "Unclassified non-coding RNA Y50D7A.20". Lineage: Eukaryota; Metazoa; Nematoda; Chromadorea; Rhabditida; Rhabditidae. The record is from RNAcentral.